Molecule: long non-coding RNA, 1252 nt
Filed under: Carassius auratus (goldfish)
Lineage: Eukaryota; Metazoa; Chordata; Actinopteri; Cypriniformes; Cyprinidae
Description: lncRNA (ENSCARG00000047215.1)
Source: RNAcentral
AUGUGUGUGUCUCUGUGUGUAAGUGUGUUUGUGUGUGUGUGUGUGUCUCUCUCUGUGUGUGUGUGUGUGUGUAAGUGUGUAUGUGUUUGUGUGUAUAUGUGUCUCUCUCUCUCUGUGUGUGUGUGUGUGUGUGUGUGUGUUAGGCCCCGCCCCCUCUGCAGGAGUUGUGCGCCGCGUUGCUUCAGUCUGAUCAGAUCAGAGUCACGCGGCGCUGCUGUCUGUCUCUCCGUGUGUUUCUCCGUGUGUUUCUCCGUGAGUCUGUCCUCGGCGGAUGAGCGGAAGCACGCGUGUGUUCUGCGGGAAUCCGUCUGUUUCAGCGCAGUGUUUCAAACACUAGUAAUCUUCAGUGUGCCAGACUAAAUCAGACCGCGCUCGAUUGAAGGGCAGUGGAUAGUUGACCUCGUCCAUCUCCAGCACCACUUUCCCAGGACGCCAGAAUUAGAGGCUCUUCUGUUCUUCUGUCAGGCUUCAGAAAGCGUUCUCUGACGGGAGGAAUGUGAGGAAUGUGAAGAGGAGACUCGCACCACGGUGAGCUUUCACACCACGACAGACCAGACACGAGCGAUGGUGCGAAAACUCUCAGAUUUGUUUUCACUCUCUCUCUCUUUUGGGUGAUAUCUGAGAGCGAGUGUGCAAAACCAAUCUUUAUGGCCAAAUGAAUCAUUCCCCGAGGCUGUAACUCCAAACACAAGUUUUGAGCGGGCGUGAAAUCAGCUCAGGUUCAUGCAUGCAGACUUAUUUGAAAAAGGUUGUGUUAUUUCCUGUUUUAACCAUCCGUGCCUUAAAAUAUACCAGCAACUGCUUCUGCGAAUAGAGUCCUGUAUCAAACUGAGUCAUUGUGCGAAGACACAUUUGCAAAUGUGGUUUAGACCUGCACCUGCUGCUCCUCUUUUUUAGAAAGCGGUGAGCUUGUUUCUUAAUUAAGAGUCUAAAAAUGAAUCGCAUGUGUGCGGCAAAGGUAAUUAAUGAUCUGAAAGAUUUCUCAAUCCAGAGCAGACGCCAUCUGCUGCUGUCCUUUGAAAAAAACCACUAAACAAAUGUGUUAUGGUCAUUAAAUAUUUGCAUGGUAAUUAGUUGCAACUUUAAACAAGCUGCAUGAAGCAUUCCUGGAUCUUUCCCGCUGCUGGUUGAUGGUUUCAGGGAAAGAUCCGCUUGGAAAGAUUCAGAGAAAGUCCAUGCAACUCGUUGAAAAUAUGCAGCAGGAGGUUUUCCUAUCAAACAUAUAAACAGCUGAAAUUCACGACGGUCUGUG